AAGGAGGAUGUGAAAGCUAGCAUUCCUGCCUGAUACCAUCUUCCUAGAUUUGAUCUGCCCAUAUUGUGUGUUUGCUGAACUGCUAGACUGUUCUGCUGGCCUCAAGAGCAGGACAUUAUC
This is a small nucleolar RNA of Lolium rigidum, 120 nucleotides long. RefSeq annotates it as small nucleolar RNA snoR104. The record is from RefSeq and is a predicted model, not a curated record. Lineage: Eukaryota; Viridiplantae; Streptophyta; Magnoliopsida; Poales; Poaceae. The transcript has a single exon.